RNAcentral lists this long non-coding RNA (297 nucleotides) under Vigna radiata. RNAcentral's name for it is "long non-coding RNA (VRAD_LNC002578)". Lineage: Eukaryota; Viridiplantae; Streptophyta; Magnoliopsida; Fabales; Fabaceae. The record is from RNAcentral.
GUUUAGUUCAUCUAAACUAAUUUUUAAUUCAUUCAAACAAACUUUUUUUUUUAUUUAGUACAAUUUUUAACAGUUCAGUACAAUUCAAUUAAUUUUGUCUACCUUUAUCUAUCGUCAACAUUUUAGUUUCUCCAGCACCUUUCUCUCGUCUUCAUCUUCACUCGAUUUCAACCAAUCACUUAUGCCUAUUCAGUCCACCCUCAAUCUUCAUGUCACAUUUUUGGCCUCACUAUUUCUUUCUAGAACCAUAUCACUACGUCCCUUUCAAUCACCAUUUUCUAAAAAUAAUACUUUACC